RNAcentral lists this ribosomal RNA (406 nucleotides) under uncultured bacterium. RNAcentral describes it as "partial 16S ribosomal RNA". It matches the Rfam family "Bacterial small subunit ribosomal RNA", at positions 29 to 526 of the family's 1533-position model. The record is from RNAcentral.
AUUGAACGCUGGCGGCAGGCCUAACACAUGCAAGUCGAACGAGUGGCGGACGGGAGAGUAAUGUCUGGGAAACUGCCUGACGGCGGGGGAUCACUACUGGAAACGGUAGCUAAUACCGCAUACCAUCAGAUGUGCCCAGAUGGGAUUCGCUUGUUGGUGGGGUGACGGCUCACCAAGGAGACGAUCCCUAGCUGGUCUGAGAGGAUGCCCGGCCACACUGGAACUGAGACACGGGCCAGAAUCCUACGGGAGGCAGAAGGGGGGAAUAAGGCACAAUGGGCAGAAGCCGGAUGCGGACAUGCCGGGUGUAUGAAGAAGGCCUUGGGGUUGUAAAGUGCUGUCAGCGGGGAGGCGUUACCCGCAGAUGAAGCACCGGCUAACUCCGUGCCAGCAGCCGCGGUAAUAC